Long non-coding RNA from Thunnus maccoyii (southern bluefin tuna), 499 nucleotides. RefSeq lists it as uncharacterized. The record is from RefSeq and is a predicted model, not a curated record. The transcript has 3 exons. Lineage: Eukaryota; Metazoa; Chordata; Actinopteri; Scombriformes; Scombridae.
UCAGGAGGUGAUUCUCUCUCUUAUCUUCUCUAAAUGAAGUUCACUGCUUUUUGUUUUUAAAGGUGGAGAAAAGCAGCAGAAUGCAGUGUGAGGUGAGUGUGAGGAUGUGAGCGGCUUUAUGCUGAGAGCUUGUUUCUUUAAGACCCAGCAUCUUCCAGCGGAGGAGAUGAGGGAAGAUAAACGGUGGGAAGUCGUCAAGUUGGACAGAAACAUCAGGUCCUGUCCGGAUGCAGCCUGUGCUCGCUGCGCGCAGUUUGACGCAUCGGCGGCGCGGCACCGUCGCUCCCACAGCAGAGAGAGGGAGGGGAUGGGGCAGGCUGGUAACCGGGCUGUAACGGGGAUAACCUGCAGCCUCUGAUGGAGUGAACCGGGGAGCGAUGCGCCUUCAUUUCCUCUCUCUGUCGAUCAUGGAAAGGGUUCGUCUCUCGUCUCAGUGAAGCCUGGGCCGGGGGGUCAGAGGUCGUCCACCGAACCUGCACUUCUCCCUCUUACCCCUGCA